RNAcentral lists this ribosomal RNA (852 nucleotides) under uncultured bacterium. Its description in RNAcentral is "bacterial SSU rRNA". It matches the Rfam family "Bacterial small subunit ribosomal RNA", at positions 62 to 869 of the family's 1533-position model. The record is from RNAcentral.
UCGAACGCGUCUCCGUUGAUGAUUUUAGGUGCUUGCACUUGAAAGAUUUAACAUUGAGACGAGUGGCGAACUGGUGAGUAACACGUGGGUAACCUGCCCUUGAAGUAGGGGAUAACACUUGGAAACAGGUGCUAAUACCGUAUAACAACCAAAACCACCUGGUUUUGGUUUAAAAGACGGCUUCGGCUGUCACUUUAGGAUGGACCCGCGGCGCAUUAGCUUGUUGGUAAGGUAACGGCUUACCAAGGCGAUGAUACGUAGCCGACCUGAGAGGGUAAUCGGCCACAUUGGGACUGAGACACGGCCCAAACUCCUACGGGAGGCAGCAGUAGGGAAUCUUCCACAAUGGACGAAAGUCUGAUGGAGCAACGCCGCGUGAGUGAUGAAGGGUUUCGGCUCGUAAAACUCUGUUGUUGGAGAAGAACAGGUGUCAGAGUAACUGUUGACAUCUUGACGGUAUCCAACCAGAAAGCCACGGCUAACUACGUGCCAGCAGCCGCGGUAGUACGUAGGUGGCAAGCGUUGUCCGGAUUUAUUGGGCGUAAAGCGAGCGCAGGCGGUUUUUUAGGUCUGAUGUGAAAGCCUUCGGCUUAACCGGAGAAGUGCAUCGGAAACCGGGAGACUUGAGUGCAGAAGAGGACAGUGGAACUCCAUGUGUAGCGGUGAAAUGCGUAGAUAUAUGGAAGAACACCAGUGGCGAAGGCGGCUGUCUGGUCUGUAACUGACGCUGAGGCUCGAAAGCAUGGGUAGCGAACAGGAUUAGAUACCCUGGUAGUCCAUGCCGUAAACGAUGAGUGCUAAGUGUUGGUGGGUUUCCGCCCUUCAGUGCUGCAGCUAACGCAUUAAGCACUC